Molecule: small RNA, 712 nt
Filed under: Pongo abelii (Sumatran orangutan)
Lineage: Eukaryota; Metazoa; Chordata; Mammalia; Primates; Hominidae
Description: retained intron
Source: RNAcentral
UGCUGAGCGAGACCACCUUGGCCCAGCCCCAGAGCCUGGAGAGGCACAAGGAACAGCUGCUGGCUGCGGAGCCCGUGCGCGCCAAGCUGGACCGGCAGCGCCGUGUCUUCCAGCCCUCGCCCCUGGCCUCGCAGUUCGAACUGCCCGGGGACUUCUUCAACCUCACAGCAGAGGAGAUCAAGCGGGAGCAGAGGCUCAGGUCCGACGCGGUGGAGCGGCUGAGUGUGCUUCGGACCAAGGCCAUGCGGGAGAAGGAGGAGCAGCGGGGGCUGCGCAAGUACACCUACACACUGCUGCGCGUGCGCCUCCCCGAUGGCUGCCUCCUGCAGGGUGGGCACCGGUGAUGCCCGGGGAGGGCGGCUCGGGUUGGUAGGGGGCCCUGGGCCCCACCCGCUCUGACUCCCCCACUCCCCAGGGACCUUCUACGCCCGGGAGCGGCUGGGGGCGGUGUACGGGUUCGUCCGGGAGGCCCUGCAGAGCGACUGGCUGCCUUUUGAGCUGCUGGCCUCGGGAGGGCAGAAGCUGUCCGAGGACGAGAACCUGGCCUUGAACGAGUGCGGGCUGGUGCCCUCUGCCCUCCUGACCUUCUCGUGGGACAUGGCUGUGCUGGAGGACAUCAAGGCCGCGGGGGCCGAGCCGGACUCCAUCCUGAAACCCGAGCUCCUGUCAGCCAUCGAGAAGCUCUCGUGAAAUAAAAGCAGGGUUGGCCUCA